CAGCAGCCACGGGAAUACGAAGGGUGCAAGCGUUACUCGGAAUUACUGGGCGUAAAGCGUGCGUAGGUGGUGGUUUAAGUCCGUUGUGAAAGCCCCCGGCUCAACCGGGGAGGGUCAUUGGAAACUGGGAAACUUGAGUGCAGAAGAGGAGAGUGGAAUUCCACGUGUAGCGGUGAAAUGCGUAGAGAUGUGGAGGAACACCAGUGGCGAAGGCGACUCUCUGGUCUGUAACUGACGCUGAGGAGCGAAAGCAUGGGGAGCGAACAGGAUUAGAUACCCCUGUAGUCCCUGUCUCUUAUAC
This 301-nucleotide ribosomal RNA is filed under the name uncultured bacterium. RNAcentral describes it as "partial 16S ribosomal RNA". It matches the Rfam family "Bacterial small subunit ribosomal RNA", at positions 509 to 807 of the family's 1533-position model. The record is from RNAcentral.